Mastomys coucha (southern multimammate mouse) is the source of this 1220-nucleotide long non-coding RNA. RefSeq lists it as uncharacterized. The record is from RefSeq and is a predicted model, not a curated record. The transcript is spliced from 2 exons. NCBI's taxonomy places the organism in Eukaryota, Metazoa, Chordata, Mammalia, Rodentia, Muridae.
UGAAGGCAGACUGACUACACUUGGAUGUAAUAAGUCCUAUGUGACCUUGGGAUUAUGAAGACAACAAUGGUGAGGGAAAGGAAGAGAGAUGGCUGGAAGGAGGCACACAUAAGGACUAGCAGCACAGGGGGAAGGUCUUUUGUAAUCAACAAUAUGGGUGAGAAGUGAUCGUCCACACCAGGAAAGGACAGUGAGGCAGCUGAAGUUCAGAAGGCUCAAUACUGGAGCCACCCCUGCCGCGGGCUCUGGAUUUUGAGCACAAGGACAUGCCCUCCAGCAUGCCUCACUUCCAAGGGAAACCCACUCCAGACCUCUGUGGUCCUUCUUCAAGACAAAUAACUUCCCCUUUCUCUUCAUCACUUCUCCCUUCUCAAAGGAAACUCAGCAAUUCUUUCCUUUCUUCAAAGACUGGCAUCAUAAGACAAUUUUAAAAAUAAUAAGUGAUUUCACUUUGGUUCUAAAACAAAGAGGAUGCUCCCACUGGGUUCUGAGGAGACUCUCGUGGCAGAUAAAUUUCAUGGCAGGUGUAGGGGGACUCAGGGACACCCCCUACAGACUUUGGGAAUUCCAAAGCUAACAGGCCAGGGAGUGUUUCUAGAAGGCCUGGAUUUGUGGCUGGAACCUCUACUUGCUCAGCUCAGAAGAUGUGGGUUCUCUGAAGAAACCAGAGAGCCUGUGGCACAGUAUGCCCUGAACAACUGAGACGUGAAGUUUAUUAGAAGACACAUUUGGCCCACAUUGUGUGCUGGGAAGGGAAGAGCUUAAUGCCAUGGAAAAGCAAAUGAGAGAUUUAAACAGGCUUUGUUUUAUGUGAGAUUUGAAAAUCUUCCCCCACCACCAAAAUGCAAAAGCAAACAAGACAGUUGAACAUUUUGUUUUCAGGCAAAGAUCCUCAUCUUUGGAAGCCAAGACUUUCCAGCAAACAGAGUACCAGACUUUCCAAGGAAACAAACAAGCCAAAAAGUACCAAACUAUUCCAGGACAGCCACAGAGACUCUCUGGAUCUAAAGAGAGAAGAGAGCUGCCACCACACUGAGCCUGGGAGGAAUACUUGCAACAACAGAACCAAAGUAGCUCCAAGAUGAUCUACUGACCUCAUGAAGUGCCUUUCACAACUCCACUAAAAAGCUGCAAGAAACUCUGCUGCCUUUCCCGUCCCUUUCUGGCUUCAUUACACCCAACACUCUCUACGAGAGAAAAUUAAAUAUUUGCUUAUCACU